GAGGUACCUGUCAGGGUGAAGUAGAGGGUAAGAACAGAGAGGUCCUCUUGGGCCCUGAAUCUCAUGGUGUUGGUUGUCUUCGGCCAGAUUGGAGGCUGCAGGCAGGCUGAACAGCAGCAGAUAACCCCUGCCAAAGAGGAAGAGCAGAUGUAGAUACCGGUCACAUGGCUGUAGAUGCUGAUCAAGAAUCAAAUUGGCUGUAUUUUUGGUUAACUCGAUGAGCUAUUAGCACUAAGAAAAUAAAUAGAUUCAGAGACGUGCUAUCACUUUAGGCAAGUUGGUAGAACGGGGCUUGAUGAUGAGUUUGAGCCACUUGUUCUCUUGGAGAAACAGAUAACACAUGUGAGCAAAUCACAGGAAAUGAUGUAUAACAGAAGAUCCAGGUCAGUUCCGUUUUGACUGAGAGGCCAACUCGAUUUUCAUUGAUAGUUCAUGUCUAAUUUCAUUGCUCCUUUUCUAUUUGUCAUGAUGAAGGAUUGAUUCUGAGAACCCCACUAGGAACAUUUGAGGUUAGAGCAUUGGUCUUUUGUUAACUACCAAUGUUUUGGGCAUCAUCCAACGAAUUAGCUUAUUUUUGUUUGCCAUUGGGAGUAAAAGUACAUGCUUAUAUUUUAAUUGUUCAUGGUCCUGCCUUUUCUAUUAUCAAAUACAUGUGGAUGCUUUAUCCUGGCAUUCUUAUUAUCGUUGCCUUUUCAUUUACAUUAUAUGACCAUUACUAUUUUCAGCUUGCAUGCUUUCUGAAAUAAGUAGUUACUGAUAUAUGAAAAAUUACUGUUAGUAUUACAGUUGUAGGAUCUAAUUUAAAUGACCAAUAUGCUGUGUGUAGCUCUUUAUAGGUGGCAGUGAGUUUAGAUAGAUGAAAAAGAUCCAACAUCAGUUCUAUGUAUGUGAGUGUGGCUGCUGGAGUUGCUAGGAUAUAAUGUACACUGCAAUGUUUAUCUUACUUCUAAAUUUUCCAGUACUAACGGUGUGAAAUCUGUUUGGACCUUCUCUUUUUAGUUCAAAUUGGCCCACAAAGCAGUCAACUCACAGCUUAAAUGUGUUGCUAAUAUUAUUGCAACUGUUCAUUAAUACAAAGUUGUAUAUGGUCCGGUUUAACACUACCAAGUAGAUGUUAAUUUCUUUGUACUGUGUAUUGAGAUAUCAAUGAGAAAAAGUAUCUACAUUCUCCGGCAGGACUAUAUGGUGUACAAGUUCAGGUAUGAUCUUUGGAAUGUGAUUUUCAUGAUUAUUUACUCAUAGUUUUGCUCUUUGGUAUAAUAUAUGCAUCACCAUAUUUUGUGGUUUUCGGAGUAAUGUUUAAAUUAUAAUUGGUGUAAUAUAUGCAUCACCUUGGUGAACAGAAGAAAUCCUACAAAUCAAUGGUUGUCCCUAUCGACUUUCUAUGGGAGUUAAACUGGUUCAUUUAAGGAGCAUAACGAUUGGUCGGGUACAUCUGACUCUAAAAGAAUUUGCUUUGCAAAUGUGGGUAAGUGCCAUCGGAGAUCCAUACUGUGCUAGCAUAUAUUGAUCUCGAGACAAGAACUAUGGAUGAUCUGUCAAGUUUCAAGUGCAUUGUGCGUUCUCAGAAAAUAAUACCUAUACCAGAUGAAAUCAGUAUCAACGUUCCGGAGAAUGAUUUACCAGAAAGCUCCUCCUUGCAGAACAGGUAUGUCUCUGUUUCUAAAUAAGUAUACAUUUUUCUCGGAUAAGACUCAAUAUCUGCAUGGUAAAACUAGAAGAUGUAUGUACAAGGGUGCACCUACAGCUGCAUCUACAAGUCUAACAGUGGCCCCUGCUGAGUGUUAUAUUUCACAAAAAAUGUUUCAGCACUGGUUUUGCAUCCCAAUCCUGAUACCUAUUUUUCAGACUUAAACAUGUGUGUGAAUUUGACAAAAAAAAUGCGUGUUCAUGUUCAAGUGAAGAAAUUACGUGACAGUGCAUUUAUGGUUCUUUCCCAAGAUUAUCCCUUCAUAUCUUUGCACAAAAUGUUCUCUGUCUCAUUUGAAGAGUGGACACCUGAAUAUGGCUCAGUUGGAUGUGUGGUCACCCGGUUUGUUAAGUUUAAGACAUCUGACUUACCGUGCAACUUGAGUUCAUCCCCAAUAGUUGAGUAUAUUCUACCUCCAUUUUUUUUAUGAAAACUCAUAUGACAGCAAAAAAUGACAGUACCUUGGUCGGCAAUACAGUUGCUGCUUACAAGUGCACUGUCUUGUGUGCUGCUAUUGAGGCUAUACCAUGCAUGGUGCGCGUCAAAGUUUUAUCUUCCCAUCUAAUCAACCUAGCACAUACCUGACCAGAUACUAGAUGCAACUAUCCAUCACUUAUUCUAUUCAUAAAUGCUGAUGCUAUUUUUGGUAUGACACUUCCUCUCUAAUACUUCUAUGGUAAGCCUUUAUAUAUAUUUGCUUAGUUUGGAAACUUGCAUUAGUAUGCACGAAGUGGAAACUAAUCAUUUAUCAUCAACUGCAGAUCCAGGAUCACAUUCAGGCAAUCAAUUUACGAAUUCUGUAGUUGUCAAAUUUUGGUUUUUAGUAGGAGUAUGUACUUAAGAAGAAUGCUUUGCUUGCAACCAUAAUGUGUUUGGUUUAGGUGGACAGCGCUCUGCUUUCUGUGCUUUGCUUGCAAGCAUAAUGUGUUCGGUUUAGAUAGAAGAAAAAUGUAGGAAUUGUCCAGUUCUCUCUGUUUCCUUAUUUGUUAUUUUGAAGGUUCAAUCUUCUUUAUCUUUGUCCAAUGUAUGGUAUACUACUGCGUGUAAUUGCUGUCAAUGGAUAAAUCGAAGGCUGUCCUCUCUA
This is a long non-coding RNA of Lolium perenne, 2774 nucleotides long. RefSeq lists it as uncharacterized. Lineage: Eukaryota; Viridiplantae; Streptophyta; Magnoliopsida; Poales; Poaceae. The record is from RefSeq and is a predicted model, not a curated record.